UAGGGAAUCUUCGGCAAUGGGGGCAACCCUGACCGAGCAACGCCGCGUGAGUGAAGAAGGUUUUCGGAUCGUAAAGCUCUGUUGUAAGUCAAGAACGAGUGUGAGAGUGGAAAGUUCACACUGUGACGGUAGCUUACCAGAAAGGGACGGCUAACUACGUGCCAGCAGCCGCGGUAAUACGUAGGUCCCGAGCGUUGUCCGGAUUUAUUGGGCGUAAAGCGAGCGCAGGCGGUUUGAUAAGUCUGAAGUUAAAGGCUGUGGCUCAACCAUAGUUCGCUUUGGAAACUGUCAAACUUGAGUGCAGAAGGGGAGAGUGGAAUUCCAUGUGUAGCGGUGAAAUGCGUAGAUAUAUGGAGGAACACCGGUGGCGAAAGCGGCUCUCUGGUCUGUAACUGACGCUGAGGCUCGAAAGCGUGGGGAGCGAACAGGAUUAGAUACCCUGGUAGUCCACGCCGUAAACGAUGAGUGCUAGGUGUUGGAUCCUUUCCGGGAUUCANUGCCGCNUCUAACGCAUUAAGCACUCCGCCUGGGGAGUACGACCGCAAGGUUG
RNAcentral lists this ribosomal RNA (550 nucleotides) under uncultured bacterium. RNAcentral's name for it is "bacterial SSU rRNA". It matches the Rfam family "Bacterial small subunit ribosomal RNA", at positions 355 to 896 of the family's 1533-position model. The record is from RNAcentral.